GGAGAAUUUCACCAUCAGGGCUGCCAUUAAGGGAGGUAAAGUGGGUUUGUUGUUAUAGAUUCCUUCCUGUAGUAGUGUUCUGACUGAUAUGAAAGGAGAAGAGACAACACAAUUCAACAAGAUGAUUGUCCCCUGGCUCCACCCAAAGAAAUAAUCAACAUGAAACAUUCUGUGGGAAAUAGAGAUAUGGAGAGAGGAGAGUGUAGAGAGAGAGAGAGAGAUAUGGAGAGAGGAGUGUAGAGAGAGAGAGAGAGAGAUAUGGAGAGAGGAGUGUAGAGAGAGAGAGAGAGAUAUGGAGAGAGGAGUGUAGAGAGAGAGAGAGAUAUGGAGAGAGGAGUGUAGAGAGAGAGAGAGAUAUGGAGAGAGGAGUGUAGAGAGAGAGAGAGAUAUGGAGAGAGGAGUGUAGAGAGAGAGAGAUAUGGAGAGAGGAGUGUAGAGAGAGAGAGAGAUAUGGAGAGAGGAGUGUAGAGAGAGAGAGAGAGAUAUGGAGAGAGAAGUGUAGAGAGAGAGAGAGAGAUGAGAGAGAGAGAGAGAGAGAGAGAGAGGAGUGUAGAGAGAGAGAGAGAGAGAGAUAUGGAGAGAGGAGUGUAGAGAGAGAGAGAGAGAGAGAUAUGGAGAGAGGAGUGUAGAGAGAGAGAGAGAUAUGGAGAGAGGAGUGUAGAGAGAGAGAGAGAGAGAGAUAUGGAGAGAGAGAGAGAGAUAUGGAGAGAGGAGUGUAGAGAGAGAGAGAUGUGGAGAGAGGAGUAGAGAGAGGGAGAUGUGGAGAGAGGAGUAGAGAGAGGAGAGAUGUGGAGAGAGGAGAGAUAGAGCGAGAGAUGUGGAGAGAGAUAUGAGAGAGCGAGAGAUGUGGAGAGAGAUAUGAGAGAGCGAGAGAUGUGGAGAGAGAUAUGAGAGAGCGAGAGAUGUGGAGAGAGAUAUGAGAGAGCGAGAGAUGUGGAGAGAGGAGUAGAGAGAGCGAGAGAUAUAUGGAGAGAGGAGUAGAGAGAGCGAGAGAGAUAUGGAGAGAGGAGUAGAGAGAGCGAGAGAGAUAUGGAGAGAGGAGUAGAGAGAGAGAGAGAUAUGGAGAGAGGAGUAGAGAGAGAGAGAUAUGGAGAGAGGAGUAGAGAGAGAGAGAUAUGGAGAGAGGAGUAGAGAGAGAGAGAUAUGGAGAGAGGAGUA
This 1158-nucleotide long non-coding RNA is filed under the name Salmo salar (Atlantic salmon). Its description in RNAcentral is "lncRNA (ENSSSAG00000093781.1, ENSSSAG00000103691.1)". Lineage: Eukaryota; Metazoa; Chordata; Actinopteri; Salmoniformes; Salmonidae. The record is from RNAcentral.